RNAcentral lists this ribosomal RNA (1134 nucleotides) under Microsporidia sp. RNAcentral describes it as "SSU rRNA". Lineage: Eukaryota; Fungi; Microsporidia. The record is from RNAcentral.
GUGACGCAAGGAACGGCGAACGGCUCAGUAAUACUGCGACGAUCUGCUCCGCGCGRCCGAUAACCACGGGAAACUGUGGCUAAGAGCGCGGAUUGAGACGCAGGCCUAUCAGCUAGUUGGCAGUGUAACGGACUACCAAGGCGGCGACGGGUGACGGGGGGUUGGGGCCCGAUUCCGGAGAGGGAGCCUGAGAGAUGGCUCCCACGUCCAAGGACGGCAGCAGGCGCGGAAAUUGCCCACUCUCGCGCGAGGAGGCAGUUACGGGGCGUGACGGAUGGGCGCACGGCAGACGUGUGCGCGAAGGCGAUUGGAGGGCAAGUUCGGUGCCAGCAGCCGCGGUAAUACCGACUCCAAGAGUGUCUACGGUGGAUGCUGCAGUUAAAAAGUCBGUAGUCGGGGGCUGCAACUAAAACGGCGGCGAUGGAUGGCGCAGGGGUUGCAGCGACUGGCGGAGCGGGCGGGGGGUGCGGUAUAGGCGGGCGAGAGAUGAAAUGGCCAAGACCCUGCCUGGACCGACGGCGGCGAAGGCGGCACCCCAGCACGCGUCUGCGGAUCAAGGACGAAGGCCGGAGGAUCGAAAGUGAUUAGAGACCGCUGUAGUUCCGGCAGUAAACGAUGCCGACACUAUGUAGUAUAUGGCUGCAUGGGGGGGAAACCUUAGUGUGCGGGCUCUGGGGAUAGUAUGCUCGCAAGUGUGAAAAUUGAAGAAAUUGACGGAGCUACACCACAAGGAGUGGAUUGUGCGGCUUAAUUUGACUCAACGCGGGGCACCUCACCAGGGCCCAGCGCGCCCGAGACCGCAUGCGCGAGGCGCGCAGCAGUGGUGCAUGGUCGUUGGAAAUGCGUGGGGCGACUUUUGGCUCAAGUGCCGGAACGGGUGAGAUCUCCGGGACGGGUGCGCGCAGCACAGGAGGGUGGAGGCGAUAACAGAUCAGUGAUGCCCUGAGAUGCCCUGGGCUGCACGCGCAAUACAGUCCUGGUAGCAGAGCGAAUCRGUCACCAGGCAUGGGAUCGCCGGCUGUAAGGGCGGCGUGAACGAGGAAUUCCUAGUAACGGCGGCUCACCAGGCCGCGGUGAAUGUGUCCCUGUAGCUUGUACACACCGCCCGNUCACUAUCUCAGAUGGCCGUGUCGG